AGAGUUUGAUCAUGGCUCAGGACGAACGCUGGCGGCAGGCUUCAUACAUGCAAGUCGAGCGGAAAGGCCCCUUCGGGGGUACUCGAGCGGCGAACGGGUGAGUAACAGGUGGGUAAUCUGCCUUUCGGAGGGGGAUAACGGCUGGAAACGGCCGCUAAUACCCCGUACGGUUGCGAAGCUCUCGGGCUUUGCAAAGAAAGGGGCCUUUAAAGCCCCGCCGAAAGAUGAGCCCGCCCCCCAUUAGCUAGUUGGCGGGGUAAUGGCCCACCAAGGCUGUGAUGGGUAGCCGAGCUGAGAGGUUGAUCGGCCACACUGGAACUGAGACACGGUCCAGACACCUACGGGUGGCAGCAGUAGGGAAUAUUGCGCAAUGGGCGAAAGCCUGACGCAGCCAUGCCGCGUGGAUGAUGAAGGCCUUCGGGUCGUAAAGUCCUUUUCUGAGGGAAGAACUGCCGGGGGAGGAAAUGCCCUUGGCUUGACGGUACCUCAGGAAUAAGCAACGGCUAACUCCGUGCCAGCAGCCGCGGUAAUACGGAGGUUGCAAGCGUUGUUCGGAAUGACUGGGCGUAAAGGGAGCGCAGGCGGCCAAGUCAGUCUGAAGUGAAAGCCCGGGGCUUAACCCCGGAAUAGCUUUGGAUACUGCCUGGCUUGAGUGUGCGAUAGGAAAGCGGAAUUCCAGGUGUAGCGGUGAAAUGCGUAGAUAUCUGGAGGAACACCGGUGGCGAAAGCGGCUUUCUGGCGCAUAACUGACGCUGAGGCUCGAAAGCGUGGGGAGCGAACGGGAUUAGAUACCCCGGUAGUCCACGCCGUAAACGUUGUGCACUAGGUGUGGGAGGUAUCGACCCCUUCCGUGCCGCCGCUAACGCAUUAAGUAUUCCGCCUGGGGAGUACGGUCGCAGAUUAAAACUCAAAGGAAUUGACGG
This 923-nucleotide ribosomal RNA is filed under the name uncultured bacterium. RNAcentral describes it as "bacterial SSU rRNA". It matches the Rfam family "Bacterial small subunit ribosomal RNA", at positions 8 to 916 of the family's 1533-position model. The record is from RNAcentral.